CAGCCGCCGCGGUAAUACGGAGGGUGCAAGCGUUAAUCGGAAUUACUGGGCGUAAAGCGCACGCAGGCGGUCUGACAAGUCAGAUGUGAAAUCCCCGGGCUUAACCUGGGAACUGCAUUUGAAACUGUCAGGCUGGAGUCUUGUAGAGGGGGGUAGAAUUCCAGGUGUAGCGGUGAAAUGCGUAGAGAUCUGGAGGAAUACCGGUGGCGAAGGCGGCCCCCUGGACAAAGACUGACGCUCAGGUGCGAAAGCGUGGGGAGCAAACAGGAUUAGAGACCCGCGUAGUCCCUGUCUCUUAUAC
This 301-nucleotide ribosomal RNA is filed under the name uncultured bacterium. RNAcentral's name for it is "partial 16S ribosomal RNA". It matches the Rfam family "Bacterial small subunit ribosomal RNA", at positions 509 to 807 of the family's 1533-position model. The record is from RNAcentral.